RNAcentral lists this unclassified non-coding RNA (63 nucleotides) under Enterobacteria phage O276. RNAcentral describes it as "antiterminator RNA". The record is from RNAcentral. Lineage: Duplodnaviria; Heunggongvirae; Uroviricota; Caudoviricetes; Zimmerviridae.
CGGCGCGUCUUUAAACCAUGCGUCGGGAGCGCGGCGGGUUCAGGAUGAACGGCAAUGCUGCUC